This 909-nucleotide ribosomal RNA is filed under the name Cyphellophora reptans. Its description in RNAcentral is "LSU rRNA". It matches the Rfam family "Eukaryotic large subunit ribosomal RNA", at positions 38 to 964 of the family's 3401-position model. Lineage: Eukaryota; Fungi; Ascomycota; Eurotiomycetes; Chaetothyriales; Cyphellophoraceae. The record is from RNAcentral.
GCAUAUCAAUAAGCGGAGGAAAAGAAACCAACAGGGAUUGCCUCAGUAACGGCGAGUGAAGCGGCAACAGCUCAAAUUUGAAAUCUGGCCUCUGCGGGGUCCGAGUUGUAAUUUGGAGAGGAUGUUUCGGGCACGGUCCGGGCUUAAAUUUCUUGGAACAGAAUGUCACAGAGGGUGAGAAUCCCGUCUGGAGUCCGGACACGGCCCAUGUGAAACUCCUUCGACGAGUCGAGUUGUUUGGGAAUGCAGCUCUAAAUGGGUGGUAAAUUUCAUCUAAAGCUAAAUACUGGCCAGAGACCGAUAGCGCACAAGUAGAGUGAUCGAAAGAUGAAAAGCACUUUGAAAAGAGAGUUAAACAGUACGUGAAAUUGUUGAAAGGGAAGCGCUGUCAACCAGACUUGCGCGUCGGGGUUCCCCCUUGCUUCUGCCUGGGUUACUCCCCGGCGUUCAGGCCAACAUCGGUUUCGGGGGUUGGUUAAAGGCCCUGGGAAUGUAUCUACCCUCCGGGGUAGACUUAUAGCCCAGGGUGUCAUGCGACCUCCCGGGACCGAGGAACGCGCUUCGGCUCGGAUGUUGGCGUAAUGGUUGUCAGCGACCCGUCUUGAAACACGGACCAAGGAGUCUAACAUCUAUGCGAGUGUUAGGGUGUCAAACCCUUACGCGGAAUGAAAGUGAACGGAGGUAGGAAGCCUUAAGGCUGCACUAUCGACCGAUCCUGAUGUCUUCGGAUGGAUUUGAGUAAGAGCAUAGCUGUUGGGACCCGAAAGAUGGUGAACUAUGCCUGAAUAGGGUGAAGCCAGAGGAAACUCUGGUGGAGGCUCGCAGCGGUUCUGACGUGCAAAUCGAUCGUCAAAUUUGGGUAUAGGGGCGAAAGACUAAUCGAACCAUCUGGUAGCUGGUUCCUGCCGA